Molecule: transfer RNA, 71 nt
Filed under: Loxodonta africana (African savanna elephant)
Lineage: Eukaryota; Metazoa; Chordata; Mammalia; Proboscidea; Elephantidae
Rfam family: tRNA
About the family: Transfer RNA (tRNA) molecules are approximately 80 nucleotides in length. Their secondary structure includes four short double-helical elements and three loops (D, anti-codon, and T loops). Further hydrogen bonds mediate the characteristic L-shaped molecular structure. tRNAs have two regions of fundamental functional importance: the anti-codon, which is responsible for specific mRNA codon recognition, and the 3' end, to which the tRNAs corresponding amino acid is attached (by aminoacyl-tRNA synthetases). tRNAs cope with the degeneracy of the genetic code in two manners: having more than one tRNA (with a specific anti-codon) for a particular amino acid; and 'wobble' base-pairing, i.e. permitting non-standard base-pairing at the 3rd anti-codon position.
Source: Rfam by way of RNAcentral
GCAGUGGUGGUUCAGUGAUAGAAUUCUUGCUUUCCAUGAGGGAUACCUGGGUUCGAUUCCUGGUCAAUGCG